This 766-nucleotide ribosomal RNA is filed under the name Shigella flexneri. RNAcentral's name for it is "bacterial SSU rRNA". It matches the Rfam family "Bacterial small subunit ribosomal RNA", at positions 24 to 779 of the family's 1533-position model. The record is from RNAcentral. Lineage: Bacteria; Pseudomonadati; Pseudomonadota; Gammaproteobacteria; Enterobacterales; Enterobacteriaceae.
UCAGAUUGAACGCUGGCGGCAGGCCUAACACAUGCAAGUCGAACGGUAACAGGAAACAGCUUGCUGUUUCGCUGACGAGUGGCGGACGGGUGAGUAAUGUCUGGGAAACUGCCUGAUGGAGGGGGAUAACUACUGGAAACGGUAGCUAAUACCGCAUAACGUCGCAAGACCAAAGAGGGGGACCUUCGGGCCUCUUGCCAUCGGAUGUGCCCAGAUGGGAUUAGCUAGUAGGUGGGGUAACGGCUCACCUAGGCGACGAUCCCUAGCUGGUCUGAGAGGAUGACCAGCCACACUGGAACUGAGACACGGUCCAGACUCCUACGGGAGGCAGCAGUGGGGAAUAUUGCACAAUGGGCGCAAGCCUGAUGCAGCCAUGCCGCGUGUAUGAAGAAGGCCUUCGGGUUGUAAAGUACUUUCAGCGGGGAGGAAGGGAGUAAAGUUAAUACCUUUGCUCAUUGACGUUACCCGCAGAAGAAGCACCGGCUAACUCCGUGCCAGCAGCCGCGGUAAUACGGAGGGUGCAAGCGUUAAUCGGAAUUACUGGGCGUAAAGCGCACGCAGGCGGUUUGUUAAGUCAGAUGUGAAAUCCCCGGGCUCAACCUGGGAACUGCAUCUGAUACUGGCAAGCUUGAGUCUCGUAGAGGGGGGUAGAAUUCCAGGUGUAGCGGUGAAAUGCGUAGAGAUCUGGAGGAAUACCGGUGGCGAAGGCGGCCCCCUGGACGAAGACUGACGCUCAGGUGCGAAAGCGUGGGGAGCAAACAGGAUU